AAUCAACGCUGGCGGCGUGCCUCAGACAUGCAAGUCGAACGAUUAAAGCUCCCUUCGGGGAGUGUAUAGAGUGGCGCACGGGUGAGUAACACGUAAGUAAUCUACCCUCGAGUGGGGAAUAACGUCCGGAAACGGACGCUAAUACCGCAUAAUGCAGCGGCACCGCAAGGUGACAGUUGUUAAAGAUUUAUCGCUUGAGGAGGAGCUUGCGGCAGAUUAGCAGUUGGUAAGGCAAUGGCUUACCAAGGCUACGAUCUGUAACCGGUCUAAGAGGACGGUCGGUCACACUGACACUGAAUAACGGGUCAGACUCCUACGGGAGGCAGCAGUCGGGAAUUUUGGGCAAUGGGCGAAAGCCUGACCCAGCAACGCCGCGUGAAGGAUGAAGUA
This 390-nucleotide ribosomal RNA is filed under the name uncultured bacterium. Its description in RNAcentral is "bacterial SSU rRNA". It matches the Rfam family "Bacterial small subunit ribosomal RNA", at positions 32 to 415 of the family's 1533-position model. The record is from RNAcentral.